CCUACGGGAGGCAGCAGUAAGGAAUAUUGGACAAUGGGCGAGAGCCUGAUCCAGCCAUGCCGCGUGCAGGAAGAAGGACCUAUGGUUUGUAAACUGCUUUUGAAUGGGAGAAAACCUGGGUACGUGUACCCAGCUGAUAGUACCAUUAGAAUAAGCAUCGGCUAACUUCGUGCCAGCAGCCGCGGUAAGACGAAGGAUGCAAGCGUUAUCCGGAUUCAUUGGGUUUAAAGGGAGCGUAGGCGGAUAGAUAAGUCAGUGGUGAAAUCUCUGGGCUUAACCCAGAAACUGCCAUUGAUACUGUUUAUCUAGAGUACAUUUGCUGUGGGCGGAAUAUGACAUGUAGUGGUGAAAUACUUAGAUAUGUCAUAGAACACCGAUUGCGAAGGCAGCUCACAAAAAUGUAACUGACGCUGAGGCUCGAAAGUGCGGGGAUCAAACAGGAUUAGAUACCCUGGUAGUCCGCACUGUAAACGAUGAUUACUCGCUGCUUGGAGGCAACUCUGAGUGGCUUAGCGAAAGCGAUAAGUAAUCCACCUGGGGAGUACGCCGGCAACGGUGAAACUCAAAGAGUAGUACGGACGUUGNGAGAGCGACGACGACGACGAGGAGGGAGGAG
RNAcentral lists this ribosomal RNA (616 nucleotides) under uncultured bacterium. Its description in RNAcentral is "bacterial SSU rRNA". It matches the Rfam family "Bacterial small subunit ribosomal RNA", at positions 338 to 1331 of the family's 1533-position model. The record is from RNAcentral.